Molecule: long non-coding RNA, 1269 nt
Filed under: Homo sapiens (human)
Lineage: Eukaryota; Metazoa; Chordata; Mammalia; Primates; Hominidae
Description: long intergenic non-protein coding RNA 1091
Source: RNAcentral
AUGCAGACUGGAUUUUUGCCUGACUACGGUGCUCAGCCUUCUAGACAAUAGUUAUGCUAAGGGAUUAUCUUUUAACAUUGUGCAGUUAUCUCCUUUGUUUGUUUUCUUUUUUCAUUAUUCACAUAAGCCAAGGGAAAUGAAAAGCAUCUUAUUUCAGGCAAAAAGGCCUGUGAAUGAUUAACUCUGGUUCCAUGCGUUGGGACUUUGCAUAGCAACCCCGUGGCUUGCAACGACAAAAAAGCUCAAGGCAGGAACAGCAGCCCAGGGACCUGAGACCAGCGUUCUCAAAUGAAGCCAGAUCUGCUGUUAGAGGAGAAUUCUUCUGUCCUAGCUGUGUCUCUGUGAUCUGUGGAUGAGGGUGGGAAAGCACCACUCAGUCAAUUGGGGUGUACAAAAUGGAGUUUGAGAAGGUCUCACAUCCAGGUUGUUUUGAAGCAAAGUCCAAGCAUUGUAUCACUUCAUCUGCAAAUAUUUCAAUAAGUACCCAAAAGUGGUUGGACUGAGUCCCAUGAAGCCAGAUCACUUCUGACUGCAAGGAGCUUGGAAAAGCAAGUAUCUGGAUCUUUUACCAGCUAAAUUUGGAGCGAUGAGGCUUCCUCUUUGAAGAUCACAGGUGAGAAGAUUAGGUGCUUUCUCAGAAGCCCAGCAACCUGAUGGGAGUGUGGAGUGAGCAAGACCCAAAUCGGAGCUUCAUCCCUGCAUGGUUCAUUUUGCUUAUUUGGCAAACUUGCCCUGCAGAAUCUACUCAAGCUUCCUCAGUUUCUCAAAUCAUUCUUGGGCAACAAAUGAACAAGAAAGAGGACGUCUUAUUAUCUGGUGUCUGGCUUGCUGAUUUAAUAACCUAGGAGACAGUGUUUGAAGAACACAAACUCUAAAGUCCUUCACUUAAAAAAAAAAAAAAACUUUCCCAAAUUGCUUACCAUUUGGAAAAAUUGCCUUACCUUCUUCAGUCAUCUCUGAUGUUGUCAUCCUCAGAGUAAGAAGUACGCAUUCAUAAGGAACCAUAACGUCCUUCAGGAAAUCCAGUACACCCUACAAUUUUACCUAAAACUUUGAUGUUGUUUUUUCUGAGCAUUUUACCUUCUAGGGAAAUGGAUCUCAUGCUGUUUAUCAGUUUCUGAAAGUUGUUAUUAAUCUCCCCUCAUCCCAAAAUUGAAGAACUUUGCUUAAAUCUUAGAAUCAGAACUUUGGCUCCAGUAAUAAAGACUUUUCAAUAUCUUUAUCUGCCAUUGAGUCUUACCUAACGAAAUAAAGCCUCCAAAGUGGGAA